GACGUAGGGCGCGAGCGUUGUCCGGAUUUAUGGGGCGUAAAGAGCUCGUAGGCGGCUUGUCGCGUCGACUGUGAAAUCCCGCGGCUCAACUGCGGGUCUGCAGUCGAUACGGGCAGGCUAGAGUUCGGUAGGGGAGACUGGAAUUCCUGGUGUAGCGGUGAAAUGCGCAGAUAUCAGGAGGAACACCGAUGGCGAAGGCAGGUCUCUGGGCCGAUACUGACGCUGAGGAGCGAAAGCGUGGGGAGCGAACAGG
RNAcentral lists this ribosomal RNA (253 nucleotides) under uncultured bacterium. RNAcentral describes it as "partial 16S ribosomal RNA". It matches the Rfam family "Bacterial small subunit ribosomal RNA", at positions 524 to 776 of the family's 1533-position model. The record is from RNAcentral.